Molecule: long non-coding RNA, 253 nt
Organism: Rosa chinensis
Lineage: Eukaryota; Viridiplantae; Streptophyta; Magnoliopsida; Rosales; Rosaceae
Exons: 2
Source: RefSeq, a predicted model, not a curated record
UCAAGGCUUCAAUAAACCCAACGGAGCCAAGGAAACCAGGUUUGUCAUUCGUAUUGGAGACAGUGGCACCUAUUAAAAUUAAGACGAGGGCAGAAAUGGGACCAGAAUUACUGAAUUAGAACAAAAGGCAUCGAAACAAAGACAUCUCUGGAGCUGGAAUAAAGGGGAGAAUGUCUUCACCAAACAACUGAAACAAUGAUACCAGUAGUUUCCCAGAAUUCAAUUCGUCCUUCCACACCUGAUUGAGGAGAGC